Long non-coding RNA from Plectropomus leopardus (leopard coralgrouper), 495 nucleotides. RefSeq lists it as uncharacterized. The record is from RefSeq and is a predicted model, not a curated record. NCBI's taxonomy places the organism in Eukaryota, Metazoa, Chordata, Actinopteri, Perciformes, Serranidae.
CUCCCACUUCCCGCUCGCAUCUACCAGAGAUGGUGAAGAAAGAUCCAGAAGCUGUGCGCUGCAAAGGUGUGAGAAGAAAUAGGUGGAACUCUCCACAUAAGAUCUUAAAGGCUGAUCAAAAAUGAGGAACACGAGUGAAGGACUCUGCAGGUCGAUCUGCAAAGCCCACUCAAGUUUCCAGAGCAGCUGGAACAUGAACAGAAGUGAAAUUUUGGCAAGAAAUUUGGGAACGGAUGUCACCAUAGACAACUCAGCAUGGCCUUUCUGAGUGGAUUCUUAAAAAGGAAGAUGCCCAUUGAAGCCUCAUGAUUCACUGACUGCAGCAGCGUGUGUGGUGUUUUCAAUCCAGGGGGUUCCAGUCUUUUGGAGGGUUUGAAAAGAUGCGGCCGUUUGUUCAGCGUGGAUGUUUGUCCAGGUGAGUGAGCCAGUGAGACGUUUACAUCACUGAGUGCUGCUGUGCUCAGCGGACCCUCUUUUUGUGCCACAUUCAGAUGC